AGAUUAAACUGAAGAGUUUGAUCCUGGCUCAGAUUGAACGCUGGCGGGAUGCUUUACACAUGCAAGUCGGACGGCAGCACGGGGCUUCGGCCUGGUGGCGAGUGGCGAACGGGUGAGUAAUGUAUCGGAACGUGCCCGGUAGCGGGGGAUAACUACGCGAAAGCGUGGCUAAUACCGCAUACGCCCUACGGGGGAAAGCGGGGACCUUCGGGCCUCGCACUAUUGGAGCGGCCGAUAUCGGAUUAGCUAGUUGGUGGGGUAACGGCCUACCAAGGCGACGAUCCGUAGCUGGUUUGAGAGGACGACCAGUCACACUGGGACUGAGACACGGCCCAGACUCCUACGGGAGGCAGCAGUGGGGAAUUUUGGACAAUGGGGGCAACCCUGAUCCAGCCAUCCCGCGUGUGCGAUGAAGGCCUUCGGGUUGUAAAGCACUUUUGGCAGGAAAGAAACGGCACGGGCUAAUAUCCUGUGCAACUGACGGUACCUGCAGAAUAAGCACCGGCUAACUACGUGCCAGCAGCCGCGGUAAUACGUAGGGUGCAAGCGUUAAUCGGAAUUACUGGGCGUAAAGCGUGCGCAGGCGGUUCGGAAAGAAAGAUGUGAAAUCCCAGGGCUUAACCUUGGAACUGCAUUUUUAACUACCGAGCUAGAGUGUGUCAGAGGGAGGUGGAAUUCCGCGUGUAGCAGUGAAAUGCGUAGAUAUGCGGAGGAACACCGAUGGCGAAGGCAGCCUCCUGGGAUAACACUGACGCUCAUGCACGAAAGUGUGGGGAGCAAACAGGAUUAGAUACCCUGGUAGUCCACGCCCUAAACGAUGUCAACUAGCUGUUGGGGCCUUCGGGCCUUGGUAGCGCAGCUAACGCGUGAAGUUGACCGCCUGGGGAGUACGGUCGCAAGAUUAAAACUCAAAGGAAUUGACGGGGACCCGCACAAGCGGUGGAUGAUGUGGAUUAAUUCGAUGCAACGCGAAAAACCUUACCUACCCUUGACAUGUCUGGAAUCCCGAAGAGAUUUGGGAGUGCUCGCAAGAGAACCGGAACACAGGUGCUGCAUGGCUGUCGUCAGCUCGUGUCGUGAGAUGUUGGGUUAAGUCCCGCAACGAGCGCAACCCUUGUCAUUAGUUGCUACGAAAGGGCACUCUAAUGAGACUGCCGGUGACAAACCGGAGGAAGGUGGGGAUGACGUCAAGUCCUCAUGGCCCUUAUGGGUAGGGCUUCACACGUCAUACAAUGGUCGGGACAGAGGGUUGCCAACCCGCGAGGGGGAGCCAAUCCCAGAAACCCGGUCGUAGUCCGGAUCGCAGUCUGCAACUCGACUGCGUGAAGUCGGAAUCGCUAGUAAUCGCGGAUCAGCAUGUCGCGGUGAAUACGUUCCCGGGUCUUGUACACACCGCCCGUCACACCAUGGGAGUGGGUUUUACCAGAAGUAGUUAGCCUAACCGCAAGGGGGGCGAUUACCACGGUAGGAUUCAUGACUGGGGUGAAGUCGUAACAAGGUAGCCGUAUCGGAAGGUGCGGCUGGAUCACCUCCUUU
This 1536-nucleotide ribosomal RNA is filed under the name Bordetella holmesii. RNAcentral describes it as "bacterial SSU rRNA". It matches the Rfam family "Bacterial small subunit ribosomal RNA". Lineage: Bacteria; Pseudomonadati; Pseudomonadota; Betaproteobacteria; Burkholderiales; Alcaligenaceae. The record is from RNAcentral.